UACGAAGGGGGCUAGCGUUGUUCGGAAUCACUGGGCGUAAAGGGCGCGUAGGCGGUCUGCUAAGCGUGCGGUGAAAGCCUGGGGCUCAACCCCAGGUCUGCCGUGCGAACUGGUGGACUAGAGCACUGUAGAGGCAGGUGGAAUUCCGGGUGUAGCGGUGGAAUGCGUAGAGAUCCGGAAGAACACCGGUGGCGAAGGCGGCCUGCUGGGCAGUUGCUGACGCUGAGGCGCGACAGCGUGGGGAGCAAACAGG
RNAcentral lists this ribosomal RNA (253 nucleotides) under uncultured bacterium. RNAcentral's name for it is "partial 16S ribosomal RNA". It matches the Rfam family "Bacterial small subunit ribosomal RNA", at positions 524 to 776 of the family's 1533-position model. The record is from RNAcentral.